Non-coding RNA from Marasmius tenuissimus, 87 nucleotides. The record is from the annotation of a GenBank genome assembly. NCBI's taxonomy places the organism in Eukaryota, Fungi, Basidiomycota, Agaricomycetes, Agaricales, Marasmiaceae.
GUCCUGGUCGAUUAGUGGUGAAAUCAUCUCGUUGUGGACUUCCUUUUCUCUUCCGAGAAGCCGAGGGCUCGACUCCCUCCCGGGACA